RNAcentral lists this ribosomal RNA (465 nucleotides) under uncultured bacterium. Its description in RNAcentral is "partial 16S ribosomal RNA". It matches the Rfam family "Bacterial small subunit ribosomal RNA", at positions 338 to 795 of the family's 1533-position model. The record is from RNAcentral.
CCUACGGGAGGCAGCAGUGGGGAAUAUUGCGCAAUGGGCGAAAGCCUGAAGCAGCGACGCCGCGUGAGGGAUGAAUGUCUUCGGAUCGUAAAACUCUGUUAGCAGGGAAGUAAGGUCACUGUGCUAAUCAGCAGUGAAUUGACGGUACCUGCAAAGGAAGCACAGGCUAACUCCGUGCCAGCAGCCGCGGUAAUACGGAGGGUGGGAGCGUUAAUCGGAAUUACUGGGUGUAAAGAGAUCGUAGGCGGUAUGUCAAGUCAAGGGUGAAAGCCCCGCGCUCAACGUGGGAACUGCCUUUGAAACUGGCAAACUUGAGUGUGUGAGAGGAUAGUGGAAUUCCAGGUGUAGGAGUGAAAUCCUUAGAUAUCUGGAGGAACAUCAGGUGCGAAGGCGACUAUCUGGCACAUAACUGACGCUGAGGAGCGAAAGCGUGGGUAGCAAACAGGAUUAGAUACCCGUGUAGUC